GACGAACGCUGGCGGCGUGCCUAAUACAUGCAAGUCGAGCGCUGACGGCUGGUACUUGUACCAACUGGAUUAGCGGCGAACGGGUGAGUAACGAGUGGGGCAUCUGCUUUUGAGCGGGGGACAACAUUUGGAAACGAAUGCUACUACCACAUAAAAACUUUUACCACAAGUUUUAAGUUUGCAAGGUGCCUUUGCCUCACUAAAAGAUCAUCCUGCGUUGUAUUAGCUGGGUGGUUAGGUAAAGGCUCACCAAGGCGGAGAUACCUAGCCGACCUGAGUGGGUGAUUGACCCCAUCGGGAACGAGACACGGCCCAAGACCCUACGGGAAGCAGCAGGAGGGAAAUUUCGGCAAAGGACGGAAGUCUGAAUGCGCAACGCCGCGUGAGUGAAGAAGGUUUUCGGAUCGGAAAACUCUGUUUGUAGAGAAAAAAGAGCGUGAGGGUGGAAAGCUCAUCAAGUGACGGUAACUAAACAGAAAGGUACGGCUAACUACGUG
This 497-nucleotide ribosomal RNA is filed under the name uncultured bacterium. RNAcentral's name for it is "partial 16S ribosomal RNA". It matches the Rfam family "Bacterial small subunit ribosomal RNA", at positions 28 to 507 of the family's 1533-position model. The record is from RNAcentral.